Leptonychotes weddellii (Weddell seal) is the source of this 436-nucleotide non-coding RNA. Lineage: Eukaryota; Metazoa; Chordata; Mammalia; Carnivora; Phocidae. The record is from RefSeq and is a predicted model, not a curated record.
GGGUGACGGAUCGCAUCCUCGCUCUGGAUCAGCCCCUCCCAGUGACGCUGCCUGUGCCCUUACCUGUCCCUGCAGCGCCACCUCAGGGUCGUCAGGAAUACAGCGGGUUCUUGUAGCACCGCGGAAGAGGGUAUAGAAAAUGGACAACGUGUGAUUCGAUGGAAUAGAAUAUCUUUAAAAAAAUCCGGCUGCUAAACUAUGCUACUUAAUCCUGGUACAUCAGUAAAACUUGGCCAGGCUCCUGGAUGGAUCCUGGAUGAGAGCUGGUCACUGGAAAGACCAACCCAAGAUUAGAAGCUUGGAAUUUUCAGCCGUAUCUCCUACCCCUGAGGUGGGAAAGGGACUAGAAAAUGGAGUUAAUAAUUGAUCAUGAACUGUGGGAUCUGAUGCAAUUUUCAGAAAGACAGCGAGAGAGGGAACACAAGCAGGCCUCCUG